UUAUUAUUAUUAUUAUUAUUAUUAUUAUUAUUAUUAUAUUAGUAUAGCAUUCAUUAUCAAUAACUGAAUAAUUUAUUGUAAAUAUGUAAUUUAUUCAGCAGAUUUUUAAAGUCAUGUGUUUUAUUGGUUAUUUUUGAUAACACCAAAUUUGUCUUGUCUUUUUCUAAUCUGAAAAAUUAUUUUGCAAUACAAUGACAUAAUUUUUCUCAUUACACUUAUUGCUGUGACCUAUUGUAUAGAUCACCACUCUUCUCAUUUCCUCUUCUUACUUCCUCAGAUAAGUAAGGGCUGAAUGCGACUAUGCUGCUUUAUGGUGUCAUUCAUUUCCACUUGAAAUGUGGAGCAGUGCAGGUGCCUCCUAUGAACUACAGCUUGUCUGCAGUGGGUUAGUGAUGAGGGGCUUUGCAAUAACUAUAAUAAAGGAUCACCUUCACUUUUGCCCGCUUCUGUUGCCAAAUGUUGGACAUUUCAAAAGUGUCGAUGGCUGCAGCCUUGUUGCAGGACCUCGUGUUAUAUUUUUGCACCAGGAGGAGCAUAUACGCAUUCAUGACCUGACAGAAAGAAAAGAAGCAAAAUAACUUUUGCAAUUAUAUGGAGGCCUGUCUUACACCUGUCAAUUAAAAACAGCAAUAAAAGGAUCACAAAGGUUUAAAAGGUCUUUUCUCCUUAAGGCUGUAUCGUGCAGUGCAAGGGCAGCCAAAUUUAUCUGCAGAGCUGACUGGAGAGGGAGGAUGGACAGGUGGAGAAGGUGCUGUGGGGCUGACUGGAGAGGGAGGAUGGACAGGUGGAGAAGGUGCUGUGGAGCUGCCUGGAGAGGGAGGAUGGACAGGUGGAGAAGGUGCUGUGGAGCUGCCUGGAGAGGGAGGAUGGACAGGUGGAGAAGGUGCUGUGGAGCUGCCUGGAGAGGGAGGAUGGACAGGUGGAGAAGGUGCUGUGGGGCUGACUGGAGAGGGAGGAUGGACAUGAGAGGGAGAUUUGCAGCUGAUCAGAGUUGAGGGAUUCAGUGUAUAGGUUUUAUUUUCCAUUAAGAUUUUCCGGAGCUUGUGAGGGACUUUGGGGACAUCUUCACAGUGGGGUCUCAAAUGAUCUGUAUUAAUUUUGGGCAUUUUGACACCCCUCUCAUCUUGAAGAUCUGCACUUUUUCCCUCCAGUGCCACAAUAGUGUAAGGACCCAGGUAGUUAGCCUCCAGUUUUCCCCCUUUCCGCUGUUGGCUUCUCACGUUUUGCCUCCAUACUUUGUCCCCCACUACAAAGGGUUUGCUGGAUGGACACAACCUUUUUCUCAUUUUCUUUUGAGAGGCUUUAAUGUUUGCCUCAGCCUCACGCAAACCUUCACUAAUCCUCAACGCACACUCUGUGACUUGCUCCACAGUUACUGUGUCUUCCAUGCUUUCGUGAAUCUAAAAAAAAUUAUAUUUUUUUUAGUUUUUAUAAUAAUAUAUAUUUAUUUAAAGGGUUAGUUCGCCCUGAAUAGAAAAUUUGAUCAGAUAUUAAUAGCAUAAUUUACUUAAAUUGGGAUUAAACCACUGGAGUAACAUGGGUUGUUUUUUAUUGUGUUUAUGGACAAUUUAAAGAAUGUUUCAUGUAAACAGACUUUCAAUUUCAAAUUCUCUCAGCUUUAGUAAAAAUAUAUUUAUUCUGUUUAAACUUAAAUGAGAAUGAGUAAAUAAUGACAGAAUUUCAUUGUGAGUGGAGGUAAACUAACCCUUUAAGUAGUUAACAUUGAAUUUGUUUUGAAUUUUCAGUUACCCUGUAUUGCUCCGGAACCUCACAAGCAUAACGGGCCUCUCUCCCAAACAUUAAAAAAAAAGGUGAGAACUUUGUUGUCAUUUGCUUUUUCGUCCUAAGUCCAAACAUCACCGCAUC
This is a long non-coding RNA of Cyprinus carpio carpio, 1866 nucleotides long. NCBI's taxonomy places the organism in Eukaryota, Metazoa, Chordata, Actinopteri, Cypriniformes, Cyprinidae. The record is from Ensembl.